Small nuclear RNA from Cricetulus griseus (Chinese hamster), 145 nucleotides. Its record names the gene U1. It matches the Rfam family "U1 spliceosomal RNA". Rfam says of the family: U1 is a small nuclear RNA (snRNA) component of the spliceosome (involved in pre-mRNA splicing). Lineage: Eukaryota; Metazoa; Chordata; Mammalia; Rodentia; Cricetidae. The record is from Ensembl.
AUACUUACCUGGCAGGGGAGAUAACAUGAUCAUGAAGGUGGUUUUCUCAGGGCAAGGCUUCUCCAUUGCAUUCAGGGUGUGCUGGCCACUGUGAUUUCUCUGCAUCAUUUGUGGUAGUGGGGGACUGUGUUCAAGUUCUCCCCUG